Molecule: microRNA, 25 nt
Filed under: Macaca fascicularis (crab-eating macaque)
Lineage: Eukaryota; Metazoa; Chordata; Mammalia; Primates; Cercopithecidae
Description: novel_miR40-5p
Source: RNAcentral
UCCCACCUGGGGUGGGACUGUGCUC